RNAcentral lists this long non-coding RNA (2699 nucleotides) under Daucus carota (carrot). Its description in RNAcentral is "long non-coding RNA (DCAR_LNC004668)". Lineage: Eukaryota; Viridiplantae; Streptophyta; Magnoliopsida; Apiales; Apiaceae. The record is from RNAcentral.
UUCUUAAGACAAAAAAAAAAAAGAAUAAUCCGAGUGUUGGCCCUUGGAGUCAUGAUAUGACAUUUAAAGUCGCGAUCGCCGAAAAAGUCCUAACCACACCAAAACGUUAUUUCGGGCAUUUUGAAGUGACAGUGAGACAUUUUUUGCAGAAAGUGAUAGUUGAGAAUUGAGAUAUUAUGUAUUGAAAUUGUGAUUCCGGAGCCUUUUCUCUUAAUCCCGGCCUCGCUUUCUCGAGAUAUUUUUUUAUAAUUUCAGACUGUGCGGAAGCAGGGGGUGCAAUGUAGUUAUUUGAUAAGAUGCCUUAAAGAAUCAUAUGCAUUGAUUUUGGUUGUAAUUUCUUACACUUUGGUAGAAUAAUGAGGGAAAAUGAUUUAUAGUCUUGAAUGCUCUCUUUCGGGUUAUUUGAUAUUUACAUGUGCAUUGUCCAGAUGUUUAUAAAGCUGUUUGCUGCGAAUAUCGUAAGCAGAAGGGACUCUAGAAUUGAUAGUAGCUCAGUUGGGUACACAUGCAAGUUGUAAAUUUGUCAAAUAUAGAUUUUGCUUCUAGGUCAUUUCCUAAUUUUCAAAUUAUAUAUACAUAUUACAGAAAUUGAAAAGAUUGCUCACUGUCUCGUUUAUUUAGCAUCAGACCAAAUGACCAAUGAGCAUGGAAUAAAAUAUAGGAGUACAAUUUAUAUCAUGUUCUCUCUUUGCAGGGAAGUGCUUUCAGUGAUGCAAUGAUAUCGGCAAGGACGCAGAAGAAAGUCUGCUUAACACCUUCUUCAAAGUUUUUCCGCGUUAAUUUUAACAGCCAGCAUAGACUCUGCAAUCACACAGUACAAGAAGGAUAAGAUAAAAUCUUUGGCUGUAAGUUUAUAUCUUACAUACGGAGUACUACUUAAAACAUACUUAAAUUUUUGUAUGCUCUAGUUUUAAGAAAUGCAAGACUGCCGUUUGCCUGUUUCUGGUAUUUGUCUGCUAUGAAAAGUUGUCGUGUUCAAUUCGUUCUCCUAGUGUGAAUAUCAGAAAAUGUAGAGCCAUGCGGCACUAUUUUGAGUUGGACCGGUAUCUUAUCUCUGAUUUUAGAUGAACAAGCGACCUAAAAGUAGUCACUUGCUUACUUUAAGUUUCUAGCUAGAAAAAAACUUACUGUAAUAUGUAUCGUUACUUUUUGAACUAAAAACUAAAGACACGAACAGAAAACCAAUAACAUAAAGCAACUUUUCAAUAACUCCAAAUCAAUCAAUACCUUGAGUUGAGGUACAUUUCAUUGUCUGUAAAUAUUUGGCAAAAUACAACUAUGUUUAAAUUUGCAGUUACAAUUGCUGCCAAGAUUAACUCUUGGAACUAAUUUGCAGAAAAGAAAACUUCAGAGCUAAUGCACUUUCCUUGUUUCCAGUGUAUAUCAGUUGUCACAUUUAUAUUAUGUUAUUUGCUUUUGAAACUUAAGAGGUCCUAGACAGAAAUUUGGACAGAGAUCGAAUGCUUAAGAUCUCCAACAUGUAUACUGUGAUCACCCAUUGGAAUUCUUCGAAUUCCAAACUUGUCCACAACACUUAGAUGUUUGCACACGUCAACAUGAAUUCUGACCCUUUGUUGAGCUCCCGCGACCACAUGAACUUUUUCAAAUCCAAUCAAUUGCUUAUUCGAAUCUGAAUUUGCAGCACCAGGAGGCGACGAGUAUGCAAGAAGAGUGUGUGGACCAUCCAUAGUCCCUGUGUUCUUAACAUCAACAUGUACACCCACACUAAGGCCUUCACAGUUCACGUGUAUAACUCUGAGAUUGUCAUUCAAAAUUGUUGAAUUUUUGAACGAGUGAUUGUUGGCCAAUGACACCGCAACAGAACUUGGACCGUGGGCUAAAGUGUGGGCAAAGGUUGUGUAACUUAAACCAUGACCAAAUGGAAAAAUAACUGGUCCUUUAUAGAAGCGAUAAGUUCGACCAGGGUAGCCUCUUGCUGGAUUCGCCCUCAUGUCCAUGUUUGUCAUUGGCACCUUCGCUAAGUAACUUUGUGGGUACCAUGUCAUUGGCAGCUUCCCCCCUGGAUUUGUCAUGCCGAACAAGACGUCAGCAAUUGCAGUGCCACCUUCUUGGCCAGGGUAUCCAGCCCAUAUAAUAGCAGUUAUCUUGGGAUCUGCCUUAGCAAAACCAACAUCGAUAGGCCCGCCAGACAUGAGAACCAAUAUGGUCGGGCCUCUAGAGGCCCUGGCAACUCUAGAUAUCAGUUCUUGUUGAUGUCCAGGUAGUAGAAUAUUUGAUCGGUCUCUAGCUUCAGCUUCAAUGGAUUGAUCAAGCCCCAUUACUAACACAGUUGCAUCUGCCUGCCUGGCAGCUGUCUCCGCAGCUCCAAAAAGCUGGUUAGAGUUGCAUGCAACACCUGUGCAACCAGCCUGAUGAGUAGUCCUAACGUAUCGUGCUAUACCUUGCACUGGAGUAGUGUAUCCACACGCCACACCUAAAACAAAUCAAAUAGUCAAAACCUCUAAUUCAAAAUUUUAUUACUAAACAAAAUGUUCUGCCCAUUUUUUAUUUGGUUACUAUUACUGUUCUGCACUUUUGUGUUCAACAUUUGGUUCUCACAAACUUCGUCUUCUCAUAUGAACUUGACUUUGUAUACAGAGUAAUCAUUUUAUAUUUAAUGUGAAAUUUACCAGCGUAGUUGCCAAUCAUGGUCACAGUUGCAUCAGAAUUGGGUCCGAUGACUGCAACAGUAUGGUGAA